This 3918-nucleotide ribosomal RNA is filed under the name Triticum aestivum (bread wheat). RNAcentral describes it as "partial small subunit ribosomal RNA". Lineage: Eukaryota; Viridiplantae; Streptophyta; Magnoliopsida; Poales; Poaceae. The record is from RNAcentral.
UACAAGCGUUGGCGGGCCACGGUGAAGAGCCAAGAGCGAGGGAAGGCCGGUGUUAUGCAGCGCGUCUGCGCUAGUGUCGGAGGGGCGUGGUGGCUAUGGAAUCGCGGCGGAGCAGGAGCGGGAGCGGGAGCGGCGUGGAGGCGCUCUGCCCUGGGGCGGUACGGCUAGAGUAGGAGGGAGAGGCGCGCGGAGCCGGGGCCAGAGCGCCGGCGCGGGCGUGCCACCUCGGGAAUGCGGGCAGGGAGGCUUGGGGCGUCCCCGCCGCGACCUUCGCCGACGCGGUUCCGGAGGGCGGGCGGGGAGGCGGAGCUUGGGCGCUGCCGCUCUGAGGAGCCGGGGCGCGCCUCCCGGCUUAGGGCGCCUAGCUCAGCGCCGCGGCGCAAGCCGCGGCGUCGGGGAUGUGGACGUGCUGCCGACAAACCUCUAGACUUCUUCAGCCUGGUCUUCUGCCUAGGGUUCGGCCGCCCGUGCUUAGGUCUCGGUUAGGUCCUCAGCGCGCAGCUCCUCUCGGCACCGACGCCGCCAAAGCGAAAGGAGACGCGGGAGCGACCUGUGUUCCUCCACGCACUGACAAAGGGACGCUGGGACGGGGAGAAGCUUUAGCUAACAGCAUUGCGGCGCGACAAGACUAACCUAUGAGUCUAUGAACACGCAGUUUUAAUCGUUCGGGCGUAAAUGAAACGUUAACGUUUAUUAAACAUUAACGAACCUAUUAAUCGUUGGGGCAACGCUGAAACAUUAACGUUUAUUAAACAUUAAACAUUAAUCGUUGGGGCCAAGCUGUUCGAGAUGAGACAGUCACGGCUACCGAGACAAGCGCAUACCCUGCCGUUGAGACCGUUCCAUCGACCCGAUAGGCGAGAGCCCUAAGGGGAGUCUGAGAAAUACGAGCCAAGUGGAAACCCCAGCACAGACGCAACUAAGGACGUAACGGAGACCACCAACUAAAGACGACGGACUAGUUAAACCCUCAUUGAGACCAACGAACUCCACCAGCUACACGGCUACCCGAGUUUAUCACGUAGCGGAUACUACCAACUACACACGACUGACGAACUAGUUAACCCCUCGAGAGAGUAAGGAGUCACGCAGACUACAUGAACAACUAAGUCUAGUCCAACAGUAAACCGUGCGGACCCCAACUGCUGUACAGUCUAACUAAACGGAACCUCCGAAAAGCGGACGAACACCAUUAGUCACAGGUGGCCUAGUCAGAGUCCUCCACUAGUCCGACCAACUGACUGUUCGUUUCGAGAGACCCCAAUUUCAACAUGAGAGUAACGGUCUACCGGUACGUAAAUUAUCGUUCUUUCUUUUUCUCAUUUUUUUUACUUUUCUCUCUACUCGAAAUUCCUCUCUUCCAAGAAGUUCUUUUACCUCUUUGAAAUACUUUUCUAACGACACAUUAUCUCUUUUUUUCCUCUCUCAAAGAUUAGAUGAUAAAACGGGAAAGAUAAGAAUUACAAAGACGUUAUCACGCAACUACAGUAGUUCUAUCCUCCCUUCUAACCAACAUACUAGUGAGUACUGUUCACCCAUAAAUAACCUUAGGGUUUUAGGCACCUCCGUACCUUGUAUGUCUGUCCCUACUUCGAUUCAGAAGUCCCUGGAAGACCCGAACAAACAAGGUACUGAUAGUUCCUACUCUACGACAAACGACCGUGCCGCCUACCGGCGUAGUACCGAACCUUUAAAGGACGAUUCCUCUAGUUGAACCUUGGCCACCGUUAGGAGCGACCGGUGCUGGCAGUACACUAAAGUGAACGACCGAGUCGUUUAUCCGAAAUGAGACCAAGUGAACUGUUCUGUUAGUCUCAUACCCUGGAAUUUUUAGAAGUCACACAGGUUUCAGGUUUGUGAGAGACUCGUAUUUCGACGACAAUGAAGACACGAAACAACCCUAGUCUUCAAUGAUAGAACGAGAGACCUAUUCUGGCAUUUCCAGACCCGACGAAGUCUUAGACCUUUGGAAGUUGAGUACGUAUGGGUAAGGCUCCUCGUACAUUCAAGACGUCUGAAUUAGAUGUACCUAUAAAGGUAGUCGCAAUAAAAGACUUUUGAAGUAACUUUUAAGCUUGUACUUUCUAACAUAAUCGACGUUGAAACACAAAAAUAGUCACUAUCAUACUAUAACAGGAAUUGAUCAGACUAACUUGUCACAUUUGACAUACACAACUUAUAAAUACCGAAUACAUAAAGAAGUCCCCGUCAUUGUAUCUACUAUAAUUCCGAUUAAAAUCAUGAUCCAAUCCAUUUAUAAAGCACCACUACUCAUCCGAUUAGAAAUCGGUCUCUUCUACGUGCUAAUACACGUUUUAGUACCCACAUCGAAUCCAUAGUCAGCUGACUCUAUAUUAGUUCAGAGUCAGUUCACUGUAUUGUAAGUUCUCCCUUUUUCUUUUUUUGACUUUUCUUUUAAAACGUGCCUAGAGUUACAUCAUAGAGUGCCUAUAUCGUAGCUGACUCUGAAUUGCUUCAGAGUCAGCUGACUCUGAAUCGUUCUGACAAUGACUUAACGUGAACGAUGUAUAUUGAUACAACAGCAUGAAAACAAAAAGAAAUAAAGCAAAUUAAAAAACGAACUAUACACGAUCACCUAACUCGUCGAAGAUAGACAAGAGUGACUAGGCUGUUAAGUUGGAUCAGUGUUAAUGAACAGAUUUUAGUUCACCUUCUAGAAACGUCGAUGAACUAUACACAAUGACCUAAUUCGUCGAAGAUAGACAAGAGUUCACUAGGAUGUUAAGGUCAUCAGUGUCAUUGAACAGAUUUUAGUUUACCUUCUAGAAAAGAGUAUCAAUAAUAGCGACCUAGUUAGAAGACUACAAUAACGGCAGCCACGUACUUCCAGAGGUAAAGACCUUCAACACUGAGGUAGACGUAAGCCAGUUCGUAAUAUCAAACGUGUCAUACCGGAAACAAUGUACAAACCGUGCAUCAGCCACAAGAAGGAUCAUACGACCCUUAAAUAGACGACGAUAACUCAUCGUCUAUUUCCCAAACUCGGAUUAUCUUCGAGACAAAGAACCCUUGAAAUCUACCGACGGUAGUCGGGUAGUCAGACGACUCGAGUAGACAAAGGGACUUCUCAAUCAUACCCUCAUAGUCUAUCUGUACAUAGUCGUUGCAGUAACUCGAGUAGACAAAGGGACUGACUUCUCAAUCGUUCCCUCAUGGUUUAUUUUUACAUGGCCGUUGCAGUCUUAACAAUCCUUGGCAGUAUGUCGUCCUUGAUCUACGUUGUGGUCUCGUUAAACAAGAAGCUUUCAGACUUACAGGGAUACAGGCCAAUAACCGAAAGAGUUAUAAAGGGAAGGACCUUCGUACAAACAGUCACAUGCAAGCAUUCGAGACAACUCUACAUCACGUACUACGAUAACAGGAACUAUUUGAAAGACGAAACAAUACCAAGAACCCGUUACCCUCAUGCGUGGGAGAAACCGUACGUAGCAGGCCCUUUCUGCGGCCAAGACGAGACGAGGGAGGUGUUCUCGUUGACGCAGGCGAACAACCCGGACGGUAGCAAGCUCCUCUAACCGUGCGAGAGGAGGUUUUGUCUUCACUUCUGGUAGCUUGAGCGGGUUCCUGGUAGCUCCGAAGAAAAGUGACCUCUGCCGCGCCCGCUCGAGUUCCACACCUACACCCGCGGGGCCCUGCUCCUAUUCCUCAGGGGGUUGUGGCCGCGACAGUAUCUGCAGUCGAUCUGUACGUAUCAGCUAGUACGAGUACGUACGCGACUCGACUCGAUCGAGGUGGCGACAUUACAGACAUUUAAUAAUACGGUAGGUUCAUUUUAUUGUUCAGCAGUAAAGGGGUACGUGCCAGAACCUUCGGACUGCUCCUCAUUAGGUAGCUAGGUUAAGGGUUGCGGCGGCGCGGUAUUUGAUGGUGCCGGGCGAACUCAACGCACGGUAGGUA